AUAACCCUUUGCUGUCCGACUCUGUUGCCUCCGGGGCGACCCUGCCUCCGGGCGGGGGCCCCGGGUGGACACAUUCAAACUCUUGCGUAACUUUGCAGUCUGAGUAAAUUUAAUUAAUAAAUUAAAACUUUCAACAACGGAUCUCUUGGUUCUGGCAUCGAUGAAGAACGCAGCGAAAUGCGAUAAGUAAUGUGAAUUGCAGAAUUCAGUGAAUCAUCGAAUCUUUGAACGCACAUUGCGCCCCCUGGUAUUCCGGGGGGCAUGCCUGUUCGAGCGUCAUUUCACCACUCAAGCCUCGCUUGGUAUUGGGCGACGCGGUCCGCCGCGCGCCUCAAAUCGACCGGCUGGGUCUUCUGUCCCCUCAGCGUUGUGGAAACUAUUCGCUAAAGGGUGCCACGGGAGGUCACGCCGUAAAACAAGCCCAUUUCUAAGGUUGACCUCGGAUCAGGUAGGGAUACCCGCUGAACUUAAGCAUAUCAAUAA
Molecule: ribosomal RNA, 483 nt
Filed under: Cladosporium sphaerospermum
Lineage: Eukaryota; Fungi; Ascomycota; Dothideomycetes; Cladosporiales; Cladosporiaceae
Description: eukaryotic LSU rRNA
Rfam family: 5.8S ribosomal RNA (bases 126-279)
Source: RNAcentral